UCCCCUGAAGCAACAGGACUGCAUGAGCUUGGUGUGGCUGAGCCCAUGUCCUAAUGAACAUCCAGAAAAGAAAGACACUCAGAAAGCCAGGAAAAUGGAAGAAUUUUUUUUUUCAGCCAGCCAGGCACCUGACAGUAAUCAAAAUCUGUAAAGAACAGGAUGUGGAGCCUCCUCUGCUUGUUCAGCACGAACAUUUUGUGGGUGUACCCAAAGCAACCAAUGGAACAAAGAAUUGGACAAAACGCACAAACAAAGCAAGAAGGAAUGAAGGGUUUUAUUGAAAAUGAAAGUACACUCCACAGUGUGGGAGUGGGCCUGAGCAGAGGGGCUCAAAGGCCCCAUUGUAGAAUUUUGGGGAGUUUAAAUAUCCCCAAGAACCUGAACAACCUCUGCCGUUAACAUAUUUUGGUGACCCGGGAAGGAGGAAGAGGCCUGAAAGAUAAGACAAAGAGGUUCCUACAACCUGGAGACCGAGAAGGCUGCCAGGCAGGAGCUGUGAUUGCAGCUGAAAGAUGCAG
This 518-nucleotide long non-coding RNA is filed under the name Homo sapiens (human). RNAcentral describes it as "HSALNT0371517". The record is from RNAcentral. Lineage: Eukaryota; Metazoa; Chordata; Mammalia; Primates; Hominidae.